GCUUACGGCCAUACCACCCUGCAAAUGCCCGAUCUCAUCUGAACUCAGAAGUAAAGCAGGGUUGGGCCUGGUUAGUACUUGGAUGGGAGACCGCCUGGGAAUACCAGGUGCUGUAAGCU
RNAcentral lists this ribosomal RNA (119 nucleotides) under Danio rerio (zebrafish). Lineage: Eukaryota; Metazoa; Chordata; Actinopteri; Cypriniformes; Danionidae. The record is from RNAcentral.